CUCUCUUCUAUUCCUGGCCCUUUUACUCUGCACCUCCCCCGCCUGCCCCCAAUAAAUACACACACCUUGGUAGUAUUUAACGAUACCAGCAUUGGAGCUAGACCCUGGGCUCAAAUCCUAAACCUGCCACUUAUCUACUAAUUAUUUAUCUCCCAAAUUUUCCUCUUUCUGUGCCUCAGUUUCCUUACCUGUAAAAUGGGGAUAACAAGAGUGCCUUCCUUAUAGUGUUAUUGAGGUGACAGGGAGACAACGUACGUGUAUGGUGAUUGCUUGAUAAAUGUUAGGUAUUAUUGUAGCGCUUUGUUAUUUCUUUGCCUCCCUCUUUCUCUGGAUACUGAGAUAAGUUUGUUAAAAACUAGCUGUAAACUGUAAUCCACUGGGUUUUUGUUUACAUUCCUCGUCCCCUGCCCUCCUACUGCCAAUCCUCAUGUAGUCCCUUCUAAAGAGAUCCAGGAAUAGGUACUCUCAGAAUGAGGCAAAGGUUUAGGCCAAGGGUCUUUGGGAAAUGCCUUAAAGCCAAUUUUCUUGAGAAUUUUAAUGGGUCAACUUGGGAAGGCAGCCAAAGCUAUUAAUUUGUAACAGCUGCUGAGAAAUCAUUAUCAACACCUCGGGAUAGAUUCUCUCUGUUGGGCACAGAGGUUAGGCUGAAAGUCAUGAUGCCUAAAAUAAUUAUGGAGCGACAGCAUCAGAGGGGAUUACUGAUGGCAAAAUAAACAACUUUUAAAGAAAUUCACCCCCUUUGGCUGUGUCCUCCUAGAAACUCUCACCUCCUUUUCUUAGAUUGUCAGCUCAGUCUGACUACAAGCUAUGUCUUCAUAGACUUCUUAUUGGAACGUAAGGGCGAUAUAAAUCCAUGUGCCUACUAAAUAUAAGCUGAUGAUGAUACGGGCCUAGGAUAGAAAGUGAGUGACUUAAUGGGUGAGUUAGUGCCACAAAGGAGAGUCAAGGUGAAGGGGAACUUUAUCUUAAAUCUGAACAAGGGAGUAUGUUUCCUGUGAAGUCUGAUGAGAAAAAGAAGAAAAAAAAAAUUGUGGUUUGACUCCAUCACACAGAGUAAGUUACAGUGGGUCCUGCCCUGCCAUAGAACUUUAAAGACUUGAGAGGCACAUUUGUGGUUUGGUUGUGUUAUCCGAUUCUGGGGCUGAUACAUGCUGCUUUUAGUUCACGGCUGUAGAGUUUCCAGUCCUCCUUUGGGCUCUUACGUUAUGGUUUCUGAGUGGCCACACAUCUCUCUCCACUAUUCAGGUGGAACAGCCACAAGGCAUCCCCACAAACAGACCAUAAUAAUAACAGUAGUUAAAGGUCUUGGGUAGUACAAACAGUUUGCACUUGACUACUAACCUAAAAGUUGGUAGUUUGAACCCAUCCAGUGGAUCUGCAGAAGAAAGGCUUGAAGAUCUAUUUCCAUAAAGAUUGCAGCGGAGAAAACCCAACGGAGCUGUUCUACCCUGUAGCACGGAGUGGUGGUGACCUCUCUGUGUCUUCAUUUACCUUGGUCGCGUUGUGCUGACUUCCCCCAUAUUGUGUAUUGCCUUUCCCUUCACCAGAAUUAACAAGACUCUACUAUCUGGAUCCAAUCCAAGAUACUACAUUGCAUUUAGAAGCUCUUGAGUUUUGUGGAUCAUUAUUCUUCAGCUAACCCAGAAUUAGUUCCUGCCUCCUGAAACCAAGGGGCCCUAACUGAUAAGGCUCCUCAUUGCCUACAGAAUGAAGCAUACAAAGUUCUCAUCUCACAUAACAGGUUGUAUCUCACUUAAUGGCCCUUCCCUAACUAAGCUUUAAGCACCUGUUGAACGAUCCACUGCAAGCUCGCUACUAGACUGUUUAUAUCUUAUGAGCAAGGAAGGCGUCUCCUUUUGUAAGUCCUCAAGAUCCCAUGCUGGAUGGUUUGCUAUAUGUUGACCAGGUUUAAUUGAGAACCAGCUGUGACAUUAAUAACAAAAAACACAGACACAUACAAAAGGCAUUCUGUGGCUCAAAGUAGAAAUGGUUGCCAGAGACUAAGCUUACAAAGAAUCUGGGUGUAAACCAAGUUCUGGGGAUAUUUUAGAAAGUAUAUUCUGAACUCAACAAGAAAAAAAAGACAAACAGCCCAAUUUAAAACUGGGCAAAGGAAUUAAAGACACGGGUAUUCAAAGAAGAUAUGGGAAUGGACAGCAAGCACGUGAAAAGAUGCUCAACAUCAUUUAUCAUUAGGGAAACGCAACUCAAAACCACCGCAAAAUACCACUUCAUAACUACUAGGAUGGCUAUUAUCGGAAAAAUGGAAAAUAACAAGUGUUGGAGAGGAUGUAGAAAAAUUGGAACCCUUAUCCAUUGCUGAUAGGAACGCAAAAUGUUGCAACCACUGUGGAAAAGAGUUGAGCAGUUCCUCAAAAAGAUAAACAGAAUUACCAUAUGAUCCAGCAAUUCAUCUCUGAGGUGUAUUCCCCAAAAACCUGAAAGUAGGAGCUCAAAUAGGUACUUGUACACUGAUGUUCGUUGCGGCAUUAUUUACAAUAGCCAAAAGAGGGAAACAAUCCAAGUGUCCAUCAGUAGACGAAUGAAAAAACAAAAUGUGGUAUACCCAUACAAUGAAAUAUUAUUCAGCCAUAGUAGGAAUGACGUUCUGAUACAUGUUACGAUAUGGAUGAACCUUGAAAACAUUAUGCUGAGUGAAAUAAGCCGAUCACAAAGGGACAAAUAUUGUAUGAUCCCACUUAUCUGAGGUAAAUGCAUAGAGAUCAAAGUUUAUCAGGGGUUACCAGGGGCUAGGGAGAGGGGAAAAUGGGGAGUUAUUGCUUAAGGGAUACUGAGUUUUUGUUUAGUUGUUGUUAGGUGCCGCCGAGUGGGUUUUGACUCAUUGCGACCCUAUGCACAACAGAACGAAACACUGCCCAGUCCUGAGCCAUCCUAACAAUUGUUGUUAUGCUUGAGCUCAUUGUUGCAGCCUCUGUGUCAGUCCACCUCUUGAAGGUCUUCCUCUUUUGCUCUGACCCUGUACUCUGCCAAGCAUGAUGUCCUUCUCCAGGGACUGAUCCCUCCUGGCAACGUGUCCAAAGUAUGUAAGAGGCAGUCUCGCCAUCCUUGCCUCUGAAUAGCCUUCUGGCUGUACCUCUUCUAAGGCAGAUUUGUUCGUUCUCUUGGCAGUCCAUGGUAUACUCAAUAUUCAGUAUUUUGUUUAGGGAAAUGAAAAAUAUUUGGAAAUGGAUAGUGGUGAUGGUUGCACAACAUGGUGAAUAUAAUUAAUGUCACUGAAUUGUACACUUACAAAUGGUUACAAUUGCAAAUGUUUUGUUAUGUAUAUUUUACCACAAUAAAAAAUUGCUUAAUUUAAAAAAAAAGAGGAAAAAGUAUAUUCUAAAGUGUGUAUUUUAUUCCUUUGGUUGGAAAUUUAAGAUAGAGGUCCCAACUUAACCAGUCUACUGACUUCCAAUAAGGCCAAACCACUUUGGUCUUCCAUUCUGAUGUUCAGAAAGGUUAUUUGUAUCCUCAGGACAUCCUGAUGACCCAGGAG
Molecule: long non-coding RNA, 3496 nt
Organism: Loxodonta africana (African savanna elephant)
Lineage: Eukaryota; Metazoa; Chordata; Mammalia; Proboscidea; Elephantidae
Exons: 4
Source: RefSeq, a predicted model, not a curated record